GCCAUGUUUGUUUGUUUCUGCUUAUUCAAAAUAGUUUAUAGCUUAUUCUUAGGGUCUGUUCAACAAUGACUUAUUUUACAAUGACUUAGAGAUGGCAAAUAUGGAAGAGGCUAUGAUGAUGAUGAAUCAAUUUUUCUGGGUUAAAUCGGGCAGUGAGAGAAUGUGACCUGUAUCUUGGCGGGGCUACCCGGAGGGUAUGUGAGAGAUUUGAUUGGGUUAUUAUUCCUCUCUCAUGCAACUGUUGGUUGCAGUCAUGGCGGUGUCACCCUCUUGCCUAAUAUAUUACAGAUCUGAG
Molecule: long non-coding RNA, 295 nt
Filed under: Panax ginseng (ginseng)
Lineage: Eukaryota; Viridiplantae; Streptophyta; Magnoliopsida; Apiales; Araliaceae
Description: long non-coding RNA (PGIN_LNC000724)
Source: RNAcentral